Danio rerio (zebrafish) is the source of this 115-nucleotide non-coding RNA. Lineage: Eukaryota; Metazoa; Chordata; Actinopteri; Cypriniformes; Danionidae. The record is from Rfam.
GUCGGCAGCUAGCUCUCUGCAACUCUCACAUGGUCGCCCACUGAAGCUAAGCAGGGCUGCGCCCGGUCAGUACCUGGAUGGGAGACCACUUGGGAAAGCUAGGUUGCUGCCGGAA